RNAcentral lists this long non-coding RNA (462 nucleotides) under Sinocyclocheilus anshuiensis. Its description in RNAcentral is "lncRNA (ENSSANG00000035618.1)". Lineage: Eukaryota; Metazoa; Chordata; Actinopteri; Cypriniformes; Cyprinidae. The record is from RNAcentral.
CUGCAGUUUUCCAGACAUUCUCGAACACGCUGUGUAUUGUUGCUUCAAAAGGUGUUUGCUAAAGCUGAAACCAUGAAGGCUCUGGUCUGCGUUCUUGUCCUGAUGCUCGUAUGCAGCACUACUGUGCACUCCCUCCAGUGCUUCACUUGUGUGGGCGACGACUGCAAGGUCAGAACCGAAUGCCCCCCGUCUGCCAACUUCUGCAAGACCGAGGCCACCGCACAUUCUUUGUCCCGCACAUGUGAGGAGUCCUGCACAGUUGGGGAGAACAUCCACUGCUGCGAUCAUGACUUGUGCGGCUGAACGUCUCUCUGUCCAGUCUACAAAUAGCCUUGUUAUGCAUGAAGAAUCAUUUCUCAGUUAUUGAUCGGCAAAUUUAAAAUGUAAACACUAAUCAGUAUAUAGAGAAAAUGUAGUAAGUAUGGGCACUUACAAAACUCAAUAAAAAAUAAUUGCGAUAAA